GGAGUCUAGCAUGUGCGCGAGUCAUUGGGACUUUGCGAAACCUAAAGGCGAAAUGAAAGUGGAGGCGCGCCUAGCGCGCGCCUAGGGAGGAUGGGCCGCUCGCGGAGCGGCCCCGCACUCCCGGGGCGUUUCGUUCUCAUUGCGAGAUGAGGCGCACCCAGAGCGUACACGCUGGGACCCGAAAGAUGGUGAACUAUGCCUGGUCAGGACGAAGUCAGGGGAAACCCUGAUGGAGGUCCGUAGCGAUUCUGACGUGCAAAUCGAUCGUAGGAACUGGGUAUAGGGGCGAAAGACUAAUCGAACCAUCUAGUAGCUGGUUCCCUCCGAAGUUUCCCUCAGGAUAGCUGGCGCUCGCUUUGCGAGUCUCAUCCGGUAAAGCGAAUGAUUAGAGGCAUUGGGGUCGAAACGGCCUCAACCUAUUCUCAAACUUUAAAUGGGUGAGAUCUCCGGCUUGCUUGAAAGCUGAAGCCGCGAGAUCGUUUGACGAGGAUCAGGGUGCCAAGUGGGCCAUUUUUGGUAAGCAGAACUGGCGCUGUGGGAUGAACCAAACGCAGAGUUAAAGCGCCCAAAUCGACGCUUAUGGGAUACCAUGAAAGGCGUUGGUAACUUAAGACAGCAGGACGGUGGCCAUGGAAGUC
Molecule: ribosomal RNA, 638 nt
Filed under: Callirhipidae sp. UPOL 000M23
Lineage: Eukaryota; Metazoa; Arthropoda; Insecta; Coleoptera; Callirhipidae
Description: eukaryotic LSU rRNA
Rfam family: Eukaryotic large subunit ribosomal RNA
Source: RNAcentral